UCUUCUUACUAGUGUGAUUGAACUUUCAGACGGGAUAAUUACACAACAAACUGGGUCGGGCUUCUUGGAAGCCCAUUUGCCCUCGUGGUAAACCGCACCCCAAUUCCAAGACCGCCUAAGAAACCGAAAAAAAAAAAAAACACGUCUCAAACCCAAUUCAAAGGGUUGAUGCCUGGGCCACAGAGUGCAGGACAGCAAUGGCAUGGGGCCUCGCAAUUUCUGGCACUUUCCAUUUCGGACCAGUUCACAGCUGAACCGAAGCACUUUCCAUUCUUUCCCAACUUUUUGUUUUGAUGACUUCUGCGAGUCCUUUCCUUCCUUCGCUAUUGUCUUCAAUCCAAACGGUGCCUUAAGAUCUGAGCUCUGUGAAGAAUGAGGCUAUCAGAGAGGUUGGGAUUUCUUCAAGGGUGGUUGCCCCUCUCUGUUUCUUCUUAGCCUAUGAUUUCUGUUUUGCCAUCAGUAAACUAAAAUCCAACAGCCCUUCAUCUUUUCAGCAACAACAUUCAGUUCUGGUCUUUGAACCCGGGUUCGAUACCUCUCACUUAGACAGAAGAAAAAAAAAGGGGUACAUUGAGCGGUUGAAUCCGGAUUGUUCACAAAUCCUUGAAAGCCCAAAUCAUGCAAUGUAAGGCACGCAGUCCUUGAAGCUUCAUCUUACUCACUCAAAAUUCACUCAUAAGCUGAAAAAAUUAGUGCAAUAAAAUACCCAACUCUGUCUAAUAAGCUUCGCACCAUGGCUCCAAGCCUUUGACAGGUAAAGCAUCUCAAAUUUCCCUGAGCUUCUGCUCUCAGAAAAAUGGGAUCGGCAAAACGGCCUAGCACUACUGCUACUACUAUUAUUGAGUUUGCUCACUUUCUCGAUAAGCCCGCUUAUCUGAAGGCUGUGAUGAUGAUUUUAACUUUUUGAGGGGAUCCAUCCAUCUUUCUGGGGUUGGGUCUCUCUCUGUUUUCUAUGUCAAUGUUUUCCUCACGUCACAAUGUCACAUUGCAACCGGUUUUGCAGCCAUGACGGUGUCAUUUUCUCUUUCUGAUGCCUUUAAUUUUUGCCGUAAAUUGGUCUGAAAUGGAACUUGUGAGGCCCCGUUUCCCUUUCUGUCACCAUUGUUCUGUAUUCUCUUGGCUGCAAUGAUGAUUUUUCUUAGUUGUGAUUUGAGCAUGGAGGAAAUCGUGGACCCGUAUCUUGGUGGUGCAGCCCUGAUGGCAUGUGAGAUGAGAAGAAUUUAAAGAUGGGUUCUUUCUUCUCUUUCAUGCAACUGGGCUUGUGCAGCUACGGCGGCGUCUUUCCUUUCUUUUUUCCCUGAUCAAAAUUAAACAUCUGAGCCUUCUAAGGUUUAUGCUCUGCCAGUGUUUGUGGGCAUUCAAAAACCUUGAAAUUUUAGCUCUCUGAAGAAUGAGGCACCAGAAAGAUGGGAUUUUUUAAAGGGUGGUUGUCCUCUCUGUUUAGCCUGUGAUUUGUUUCGUAUGAAAACCAACAGCCCUUUUACAGCCUCGUUUGGUUGGGAGUAUGGAAUGGGAACUGGAAAGGGAAUGCAUUUAUAUAGGGAAAGUGUCUCUAUCACAACUUCCCAUGCGUUCUUUUUUUGUUUCAUAUGUUAUGACAAUGACAAUGAUGAUGAUGAUGCAUUGAAGGUAGUGUUUAUUUAAAGAAAAUGAAAGGCUGUGAUGAUAUUUCUUGUGAGAGCAAGUGAUAUAGGCAUUGACGGUGGAAUCUGACCCGUAUCUUGGCUGGGCAACCUAGAUGGCAUUUUGGUCGAAAACUCCCUUUCUAACAUGCAACUGGUGAUUUGCAGCCAUGGCGGUGUCAUGGCACCAAUGCCAGGUUAAGUAUGGAUCUGAGCCUUGUUUGUGAUGUCUACCUGUUUAAGCCAUAUUUACUGCUAUACAUCUUUUGGCUUUUCUCGUUUUACUGCUAGCUGUAGUUGGAUAGUUAUUCCAGGACGUCUGAAGUUUGAUUCACAAGUCUGAUGAUUGAUGACUCUGAUUGUCAAAAAAUACUUCACUUUUUCAGCACCGUAACUUGUAAUUAUCUUCCAAUAUUCAAUGGACAAACAUGAUAACUUUUUGAAAGCACGCUUGUUUUGUAUGUGGAGUGCGUUUAGUUAAUUAAUUACGUCUCAUGUGCUAACAUUCAAUUUUUUGAAGUAAUCUUACGUGAAGGAGUUUGCAUUCCUAUGGUUGAUUGUAGCUGCUGCUGUGAUGUUACGCGAUUAGCUUUUACUUGGUUGCUACAUACAUACGAAGUAAGAAUUUUGACCCAAACUUGAUUUGAACCUCUCCAAUGUUGCCUUGAUGUCAAAGUAAAGAUCUGAGCCAUUUGCUUCAAUGUUUUUUUGUAUUUAGGACGAAAAUGUUAAUCACAUAUAAGAUUUUCUUAGAUGUGGUGAUAGCUAUUGCUUCUAGAGCUGCUUAUUUGCUGCGAAGUCUGAAAGUAUCAGCCUUCCUCUCAAAUUUUCUGCUCAAAAAAUGAAUGAGGCAACAGAGAGGGAUUGGGAUUUUUGUAAGGGUGGUUGCCCACUCUCUAUUUUAGCCAAUGAUUUCCUCACCCAAAUAAACCAACAGCCCUUGUUGUAGCAGGAUCAAGCUAAUCCUUUCUCUGUAUCAUUUCAAUUUUUUACAGUAUCCUUCCACUUCAAAAUAAGCUGUGGUGAAAUGUUUCCGAAGCCAGUGUGGUCAGGCAUUGAGGUGCUGACCAGUGGCCCCUAUAUAUUUUUGGCAACCUGGAUGGCAGAAUUGGGGUGGGGGGAUGAGGUUCAUUCUCUUCCCUCUCUCAAAUGCAACCGUUAUUGUAGGAUUAUGCAUUUACUGAUUGUUGAAGCAAGAAAAACUUACCCCAAUUCUCCCUCUACUCCUUAUUUUUCUCCUCUCCUAAACAACACCAAACUAGGCCUUUCUUAAUAUAUGCCAGCAAUAAAAACAAGCCUCAAGAUGGAUAUCAAUGGUCUUCAGGAUAAAGAAGAAUGAGGCAGCAGAGGAUGGGAAUUUGUUAAGGAGGUGGCCCAUCUGGAUGCCAACAAUUUCAUUAUUCACCAUCAGUUAAAGAUGGACGGAACUAACAGCCCUGUUAGAAAAUAAGGGGAUGCCUUAUAAAGCAACAGUGCGUCUUCUCCUGUUCAAAUAAUUGGCUAUGAUGAUGAUGUUUUCUUUAUCUGUGACAUCAAGGUAAAGCUGACCGAUGUCUUGGCAGGGCAACCUGAAUCAUGUGUGAGAUGAGAAGGAUUCGAAAAUGGGUUCUUUCUCACUUGCAUGUAAUUAGGUUUUUGCAGCCAUUGCGGUGUCCUCCUUCCUCUGAUCAAAAGAAUAGAUCUGAGCCAACUUUCUUUACUGUUGCUUAUUUUUGGCUUGCUAGUACUGCCUGCUAUUAUGGAUUCGUUGAAAUUUCAGCUCUAUGAAGAAUGAGGCAUCAAAGAGAUGGGAUUUUUUUUUGAAGGUUGGUUUUCCCUAUCUGUUUACACCUGUGAUUUCUUUCUUGUCAAAUCCCAUAGGCCUUUAGAAUCCUUAUUUGGUUCCUUAACGAGUAAUGGGAAUUGGAAAGUGUCUGUAUAAGAUUUUUUUUUUUUUUGGUAUAUUUGUUGUUUUCUCUGGUGAGGAUAUUAAUAUGUUGACGAUGAUUUUUGGCAUUUUGUUUUUGAAAAAAUAAAAGGCUGUGAUGAUAUUUUGUGAGAACAAGUAAUUCAGGAUUUAUGGAUGUAUGGAACCCGUUUCUUGGCAGCGCAACCUGGAUGGCUUUUUGGGUCGUGAUGAAUUGCUUUUUAUACGCCCUUUAUGACAUGCAACUUGUGAUUUGCUGCCAUGCUUGUCUCACAGCGUCAAUGCCUGGUCAAAUACAUUGUCCGUGUAGUGUCUUGUCUUGAUAUGCAUGCGUAUUCUGCUCUACUUGUAUAUUGCUGGCUGUGUUUGGAUACUUAAUUUCAUUAGAGGUUUUGAGUUCAAUUCUCUGGUUUGAUGACUGAUGAGUUUGAUUGGUAAAAAGAGAACAAUUUUUACCAAUGUAAAUUGGAAUCAUCUUUUUAUAUUUACCAGAAAAACAUCUAUAUGGAACAUUAGUGCUGUUUUAUUUUACUAAUCAGUAGCUGUGAAAAACUUUUGGGAGUGAUUUCAAUUAAUGCCAUUGUGUUUGAUCUAACAUGUCAACACAAAGUUUUUUAAGAUUUUCUUCUCUCAAUGAUUUUGCUAGUUCUUGGUUGGCAGUGGGAGCUGCCAUGUUUUGAUACUAUUUUGUAUUAUUUUGGUGGUACGUGAUAAGUUCUCUAUCUACCCCAGACGGUAUUUCCUUUUAUCUAAUGCCUGAAAUCAAAGUUUUAGGCGGGAUCUUUACGUCUUGUUCAGAGCCUAAAAGCUCAGAAAAUGGUGAUGUCUUCUCUGUAUGAGGAUAUAAUAUGCAUGCACAUAUGGUAAUUCUGUAAAAGGAGCUUGUGAAAGUAGUAAUUCCCUUUCCAUCUAUAGCAUCAGCAGCUACCACUCUAUGUUAAGUUUCAGGUUGCUCUCUCUCAUACCUAUCUAACCCCAACCUCCCAGCCCCCCAAACCCCCCUCCCUUGCACUUCUGUAUUAGCUGUUAUGUAAUUUUAUCUGCUAAAGAGGAUUAAAGGCUGCCUGUUGGAGGUUCGAAUCUUCUCUUUUUUGCAACUUCCGUGUUGGUACACUGCUCAAGAUUCUCGAACCUAGGAUGACCGCCUUUACCGUGCACUUCUAUCCUCAUAACUCUGCUCCACUGGGGGUCAAAGAAGUAGGACUUGUGCAGGAAUUGGCUGGCUACUGAACGAGUGGGAAAGAUCAGAUUUUUUUUUCCCCCUUAAUUGGUCGUGCACGAGCAUUUUCCAUAAACACUUUGCAAACUUUUCGCUCAAGGGAGGAGGUCCAUCGGACCAGACGAGUGGCAUUUUGAAGCAGAGCCACAAGAGUGGCAUUUUGAACCCUUGCCUCCCAUCUCACCAAAGCCUUAAGGGCUUGCUGGUGGUUGUGUUUUUCUUCACUUGAUACUAGGAAAAAUAAAGGAGAGAGAGAUGAUUUUGAUAGUUUUCUUUGGGGGCAAAACUCUCUGUUAGGUUGUGGGUCGAGAGAAGGGGACGGUAUGAAAUGGUUGAACAUUUAAACUCUGAAAAAUGGAAAUUAUGCCUCAAUUCUCUGCAGCAUGGUUCUACGGAUUUAGGUUUAAAGGACAAUAAGCUUUUAGACUGAGUUGAUAGCUUACUAAAAAAAAGUCAGUGAUCCUAACAAUAUAUUUAGUUUCCAGUGUUCAGCUGCUACAAAUCCAAUCGCUGGUUCUUUUUCUUUAUGUCAAGGAUGGAACUUGAGCGCCCUUUAUCACCACAAUUUCAUAUAUUUUUCAAUAAGAUAUAUAUAUUAAAAAAGAGGGAAUUAUCGAGUGGUAUAUGCUGAAAAUUCCAGCUUUCAUAUUCCUCUUCACUCUAGAAAAACCAUUGCUUCAAAUUUAAACUGUUGUUAACACCUAGAUGAAAACACAAUUCCGUUAAUUUUGCAAGCACUAUAACGUAGUAGCAAAAACUGCACUUGGAGUACAUCGUGUUUUUAAAAAAAAAAAAAAAAAAAAAAAAAAAACGAUAGAUGGAUAGGGAGUGUAAACUACGGAAAAUGAUAGUUUAAGGGGCGCUUUGCAACCUGAAGAAAGUUGAGGGUGUAUCUUACAAUUAAACCUGAAAAAAUAAUUUCUGGGUUAAAGCUCUCAAAUGCUUCUUCAUUAGUGCGUCCUUCUUGAAAAUUAUCGGCUCAAAUGAGGCAAACAGGGAGAGAGUGGGAUUUCUGUAAAGGGUGGUUGCCCCCUCUCUGUUUUAAGCCCAUGAUUUCAAACGCAAGCAAACCAACAGCCCUUUGAUUUAGCAGACUGCAGAAAUAAUUCUUGUACUUCCAUUGAGGUUUCUGACAAUUUCACUUUGCACCCCCCUCAUGCUGAACGCUUACUACCUCCUCCUGCUGUGGAUCAUGCUAAAUGGCUGUCCUGUAUUUACCAUGAAAAGAGGCUGUGAUGAUUUUAUUUAUUCGCAGAGCCCAGUUGGGUCAGGCAAUUGAGCAAAAUUGACCCGUAUCUUGGCGGGGCAACCCCGGAUGGCAGAAUUGUUGGUACCAACCCUGACAUGCAACCGGUGCUGCAGCCAUGGCGGUGUCAAAGUCUUUUGCCUGACCUUGAAAUUGGUAAUAUCUGAGCCUCCUCUGGAUUUGUUUGCUGCCUUUUAGACCUUGUUAAACGCUUUGAGUUUGGAUAUUGUAUAGGGUUCGUGUCUUUCUUGGAUUCCCUGUUUUUUUUUUUUUUUUUAAAAAAAAAAGAGUAUGUAAAUGUGGGACGUUGCCCCUCUCUGAAUGCCAAUGAUUUUACCCUUCACCACCUGUUAAAGAUGGAAGAAAAAACCACUGCCUUUACGGACUUUGAGGAAUGGAUCCUGUUCCGCGAAGAGAAACCAUUGGGGAUGUGAUGGUACGGGUUCUUUGAUUGUAGAUUCUUAGCUUAGCUGAGUCGCCUCCCCAGUCCAAGUUUAGAAACGCAGGUCUUUGCUGCAAUGGCGGUAAUUAAUGGUUUUGAGCUGUUUUUAUCUAAGUUCUUGAUUAGAUGAGGGUAAAUCUCUCAUCUUUAGCUUUGCCAUCGUUGAAAUUUCAGCUCUCAGAAGAAUGAGCCUGCAGAGAUAUGGAAUUUCUUAAGGGUGCUUGCUCCUCUCUGUUUGGCCUAUGAUUUCGUUGUUCUAGAACAGCCCUUAAACAGCCUUGUUUUGUUCAGACUACAGUUGUUAGAAUCCCAGUCCGGAUCUCAGGAUCCUACUUUUGGAUUGAGAAAAUUUGAAAUAAAAUAAUUUGUUUUACAAAUUCUGAUCACCUUUUUAUCUUCCCAAUCAUCUUUUUGUCUCACAUACAUUACAUCAUAAAAAGUGCUGCAGUAAUUAUUUCAAUAAAUCAUCCAAAUAAACUCCUAUCCAAACAAACUCGACUAGUCUACAAGACCUAUCCAGGUUGUAGAUAGGUUCACUAUUCUUUUCUAUAAUAAGCUGUGCACAUGCAUGUCUUGGAUAAAUGCUUUUACAUUUCAUGAUGUAAUGAUGGAUUACCAUCCUAACCAUCAAAGUAGUUGAUCCAUCUUUUUAAUUAGCCAAUGCCAAAAGGUAAACUGAUGCAUUAGGUAGUCGAUAAACUUAUGACAAAGCUACAUUGUGAGUUGAAAAUUAUAAGCUCAGGUCAAAGGACUUUGACCUUUUUGAAUUGAUCAUAUAAUUCUUCAUUAACCAUUAGCCUAAAUUGAAUUAAUAACUUAAUUACGUUUUCAUAGGAUUGAGAUCCUUAGGUCCAAUUCUAUGAACUCAAGAACGAUUCUUUCUAGAAUCUGAUUUUAAAACCCUUGGACCCUACCGGGCACUUGAAGUUGGAAAGCUUUAAAGCAGGGAGUAUCUCUGUAUGAAAACCUUUCUUCUGUUGUUUUAGUGUCCUUUAUGAUGAUGAUAGUGGUGGUGGUGGUGAUGAUGAUGAUCAGGUUGAUAUCGUUGCAAUUGGUUCAAAGAAAAGGGAAGGCUGUGAUGAUGUUUCUUGAGAGCUAGUGGAUCAGGCAUUGAUGUUUAUAAGCUGUCCCAUAUCUUGGCGAGGCAACUAGAUGGCACAUUUGGGUCGUGAUGAAUGCUUUCACACCCCCUUUUUGGCUGCAACUGGUAAUAUGCAGCCAUGGCAGUGUCACAACACCAAUGCCAGGUCCAUUUAGAUCUGAGCCUUAUUCUCUGGUCAGUUUCAAAAGUUUGCCUUUGAUGGUUCAAUGAUAUAUAUAUAUAUAUAUAUAUAUAUAUGGUGAGGAUGAUGAUUGUGAUUAUGGUGAUUUAAACGCAAACGGUUUGAUAAAAAAUGAAACACUGGUAUGAUAUAUUGUGAGAUGAACUGAAUCGCUUGUGGAUGGUACAAUCCAGCUUGGAACUUGGCAGGGCAACCUAGACAGCAAAUUCGGGUUGUUAUGAAAUGCUUUUUAUGUUCCCUUUUUAGUUGCAACUGGAUGUUUUCAGCCAUGGUGAUUUCGCGACCUCGCUACUAUAACCAAUCAAUUGCGUCCCCUCUUCUUCAAUGGUGGAAGAGUUGCAACAACAGGGAAAGAGAUUGCUAUGCCUUGAGGUGUGGUUGAAAGUAGUUUUACGAGGUGGCUGAAUUUCGUUCUGUUGGUUUCCCUAAACUCUUUGGCGGCAACUUCUUUGUGCAAUUAUCCUGCACCAGUGGUAUUCUCACGCUAGGAAGCUUAUAUAUGAGGUGCAACAACACUGAAAGAGAUCACCAUCCAAGUUCUGGUGAGGUAUGAUUUGAAGCAGUUGUACGAGGUGUUCGAGUUUUAUUCUGUUGGUCUUCUGAACUCUUUUGCAACUUCUGUGGGCAAUUACCCUAAACGGGCAGUAUUUGCUCAUCAAGAUUUUUGUCAGUGGAAGGUUCAAGUUGUGCUAUACAAUAAAAUCUUUUGGAAAUCAGCAAAGAGCUUUGUGAAUGCUUUGCUUUGCUUUUGUCAGGCCAGAAGGCAUUAUUAUAAACAGAUAGCUCUUGCAUGUCUUGAGCCACUUCUUUAAGGAUGUUUUUGUCAGGUCGGAGCUUUGUCAGAAUUGUAUACGGAAUGAAAACUUUUAGUGGCCUUUUAUGAUUUUCAUAAAUCUAAGGCAGAUUAGUCUCUUUAUGGAUUUCGGAAGCAAAUCAAAAUA
Molecule: long non-coding RNA, 8659 nt
Organism: Coffea arabica (coffee)
Lineage: Eukaryota; Viridiplantae; Streptophyta; Magnoliopsida; Gentianales; Rubiaceae
Source: RefSeq, a predicted model, not a curated record